RNAcentral lists this ribosomal RNA (497 nucleotides) under uncultured Sphingobacteriales bacterium. RNAcentral's name for it is "bacterial SSU rRNA". It matches the Rfam family "Bacterial small subunit ribosomal RNA", at positions 885 to 1382 of the family's 1533-position model. The record is from RNAcentral. Lineage: Bacteria; Pseudomonadati; Bacteroidota; Sphingobacteriia; Sphingobacteriales.
GCCAGCCCGCUCAGAAACUCAAAGGAAUUGACGGGGCCCGCACAAGCGGAGGAGCAUGUGGUUUAAUUCGAUGAUACGCGAGGAACUUACCUGGGCUCGAACGUAAGAUGACUGUAGGUGAAAGCUUACAUCUCUUCGGAGCAUUUUACGAGGUGCUGCAUGGUUGUCGUCAGCUCGUGCCGUGAGGUGUCGGGUUAAGUCCCAUAACGAGCGCAACCCCUACCUUUAGUUGCCAUCAGGUUAAGCUGGGGACUCUAAAGGAACUGCCUACGCAAGUAGUGAGGAAGGCGGGGAUGACGUCAAAUCAGCACGGCCCUUACGUCCAGGGCUACACACGUGCUACAAUGGCCGAUACAGAGGGCAGCUACCUGGUGACAGGAUGCAAAUCUCCAAAGUCGGUCUCAGUUCGGAUCGGAGUCUGCAACCCGACUCCGUGAAGUUGGAUUCGCUAGUAAUCGCGCAUCAGCCAUGGCGCGGUGAAUACGUUCCCGGGCCUU